UGAGGAAUUUUCUGCAAUGGGCGAAAGCCUGACAGAGCAAUACCGCGUGAAGGAAGAAGGCCUAUGGGUUGUAAACUUCUUUUUUCAAAGAAGAAAAAAUGACGUUAUUUGAAGAAUAAGCAUCGGCUAACUCUGUGCCAGCAGCCGCGGUAAUACAGAGGAUGCAAGUUUUAUCCGGAUUUAUUGGGCGUAAAGCGUCUGCAGGUUGAUUUUUAAGUCUUUUGUUAAAACUUUAAGCUUAACUUAAAAACUGCAAAAGAAACUAUUUAUCUAGAGUUUAUUAGAGGUAAAGGAAAUUUUUGGUGGAGCGGUGAAAUGCGUAGAUAUCAAAAGGAGCACCAAUAGCGAAAGCACUUUACUGGAUUUAAACUGACACUCAGAGACGAAAGCUAAGGGAGCAAACAGG
RNAcentral lists this ribosomal RNA (406 nucleotides) under uncultured bacterium. RNAcentral describes it as "bacterial SSU rRNA". It matches the Rfam family "Bacterial small subunit ribosomal RNA", at positions 355 to 776 of the family's 1533-position model. The record is from RNAcentral.